Molecule: ribosomal RNA, 388 nt
Filed under: uncultured bacterium
Lineage: Bacteria
Description: bacterial SSU rRNA
Rfam family: Bacterial small subunit ribosomal RNA
Source: RNAcentral
AGUGAACGCUGGCGGCGUGCUUAACACAUGCAAGUCGAACGGAUGAAAUAAGCUUGCUUAUUUCGUUAGUGGCGCACGGGUGAGUAAUGUAUAGCUAACCUGCCCUUUAGUGGGGGACAACAGUUGGAAACGACUGCUAAUACCCCAUAUUCCUUCUUAUCACAAGGUAAGUUGGGAAAGAUUUAUUGCUAAAGGAUGGGGCUUUAUGGUAUCAGCUAGUUGGUGGGGUAACGGCCUACCAAGGCUAUGACGCCUACCUGGUCUGAGAGGAUGAUCAGGCACACUGGAACUGAGACACGGUCCAGACUCCUACGGGAGGCAGCAGUGGGGAAUUUUGGACAAUGGGCGCAAGCCCGAUCCAGCCAUGCCGCGUGAGUGAAGAAGGCCU